RNAcentral lists this long non-coding RNA (1744 nucleotides) under Mus musculus (house mouse). Its description in RNAcentral is "predicted gene, 16793". The record is from RNAcentral. Lineage: Eukaryota; Metazoa; Chordata; Mammalia; Rodentia; Muridae.
ACUGAUAUCCUCAGGUAGGCCUCGCAGCCGGUUGCUGGAGACGUCGAGCUCCUCCAGGGCAGCCAGCUGCAGCAGCUGCUGGGGAAAGGCGGUGAGCUGGUUGUGGUCCACGUCAAGGGUCCGAAGGUGGUUGAGGCAGGAGAAGGAAUCUGGCAGAUGCGCCAGCCGGUUGAAGCUGACAUCCAGCUCCUCCAGAUAAUCGAUCAUUUUGUUUAUCUGCUUAAGAGAGCUGAGUAGUGCCUGGGACCUGUCAGCUUUUAGGCAUGCCCCUUAUCACCCCGGCUAUAAAGGAGAUCUUUGACUCGCACCCAAGCUGAAGUUUCACUGCCACCCAUGUGACCUUGUACCUCUCCGAGAUCUCCACCCUUAUCAUAUCAUCAGCCUUACCCUCUCAAAGGGCACUUCACCAUUUCCUCUCCUGUGAAUAUGCAUUGAGAUGGGAAACUUCCUUUGGAUGCUGGCUUCUUCUCGGGUCUCUCAGUAGUUCCAGAAAACACUGUGUCCCAGAAAAGCCAUUCCUUCGCUUGGUUCAACUGCUUUGGACUCUGAAAAUAGCUCUGAUUUCAUUCACUCAGCUGCUCUGGAGUUCAGAAGUGAAGACACUCGUGGCUGGAAGUUUUAACUAACUCUGGAGUAUAGAAAGGACCUGUCUGGUCCUAAAACAAAAUUUGCUGAUCAGGAAACCCUACAGAGCUAAGGGCAAUCAGGGCCAGGUUACUACAUCUUAGGAGAAGGUGAAUUGAACCCUCAAAGUCUGGAAAGGUUGAGUACCGCAUCUAUUUGGAACAAGCUCAGAACCUUUUAGAACCUUUACCUCUUCCUUUCUCAAAUGGCCUCUAUUUCUGAAAAGCCAAAUUAAAAAGGAGACGGGCUAUUCAAAACCUUGGAGGUGAGAUCAUCUGUGCUAUCUUUAGCUGAAUAGGGAGGAGAAGUAUUGCAAAGUGUUGGCUAGGUCUAAAAUUACAAGAGAGGAGAAGUCUGGGGGCCCACCCUGGCAUCCAUGGUGAAGGCUGAAGUGUUCAACGUGCAACUACUUAAGAAGAAACUUCCACUAUUGCCCUCUUUCUAUAGCCAGAAAUAAAGGCAGCAUGGUAGUCAUGUUACCCAGGCCACUGAUAUCGAGUCCCAGUGACUGCAGUGUCUGAGAGUCACCUCGGCCAGUCACAGUAGCUGACAUGUAUAAAGAAUUUCCAUGUCUGCAAGGCAUGGUGCUGUAGCUUUUUAUCUAAUACUCACAAGUUUCCUGAGUUGGGGGCUCUAAUGCUACCCCAGAAUUGAAAUCCAAGAGACAAUAGUAGUAAGAUGUAAAAGCAAAGCAUGGCAGAAGGCAACGCUCAGACAGCUGGUCCCUGAGCUUGAAGAUUUGUGGAAGGUACAUGUGACCAGUCUUGGCUCUCUGGGUAUUUUAAGCCAAAGAGUAGUAAGGCCAGGUACAGAGGAGAACUGGCAUUGGCUUCAGGGGACAUUGUACUGGGCUCUUAUAGAUACAUUCAAAGAAUGUCACGCUGGGCAGGCACAAACCUCUUAAACCAACAGUCUUCCCAAACCGUGGCUCAGAGCUUGACAUCGGGACCACAAGCUCGCUGCGAGCUGUUAUUUCAUUUGCUUUACAUGGCUGGUAUUUAAAAUCAGUGUCUAUGCAACCUGCACCUCAAUUAAAAGGCAGUUCAUAAUCUAUAUUUUGAUAAGGAUUUUUUAAAGACUCAUUUGUCAAGCUGAGAUUAAAGGCAAAGAUCAGACAUCA